GCAUCAAGAACCCCAGUCAGCUGGGUGUGCUGGUGCCAGCCUGGGGACAGGCAGUGCUACAGCAGAGAGGAUAUCCAGACGGGUCAUUUCCAUUUGUCCUGGGGCCUGUCUCUACAGCUCUGCCACACUU
This 130-nucleotide small nucleolar RNA is filed under the name Peromyscus maniculatus bairdii (prairie deer mouse). RNAcentral describes it as "Small nucleolar RNA SNORA55 (ENSPEMG00000003210.2)". It matches the Rfam family "Small nucleolar RNA SNORA55". Rfam says of the family: ACA55 is a member of the H/ACA class of snoRNA that guide the sites of modification of uridines to pseudouridines. The record is from Rfam by way of RNAcentral. Lineage: Eukaryota; Metazoa; Chordata; Mammalia; Rodentia; Cricetidae.